This 69-nucleotide transfer RNA is filed under the name Microhyla achatina (Java rice frog). RNAcentral's name for it is "tRNA-Pro". It matches the Rfam family "tRNA". From Rfam's summary of the family: Transfer RNA (tRNA) molecules are approximately 80 nucleotides in length. Their secondary structure includes four short double-helical elements and three loops (D, anti-codon, and T loops). The record is from RNAcentral. Lineage: Eukaryota; Metazoa; Chordata; Amphibia; Anura; Microhylidae.
CAGGACAUAGUUUAACAAGAAUGCUGGCUUUGGGGGCCAGAGGUGGAGGUUAAAUUCCUUUUGUCUUGA